UGAGCAAUCUGCCCUUCUCUUUGGAAUAAGCGUUGGAAACGACGUCUAAUGCCGAAUACGACCUCCUUUCGCAUGAUCGGAGGUGGAAAGCUCCGGCGGAGAAGGAUGAGCUCGCGGCCUAUCAGCUAGUUGGUGUGGGUAAUGGCCCACCAAGGCGACGACGGGUANCUGGUCUGAGAGGAUGGCCAGCCACACGUGGGACUGAGACACGGCCCAGACCU
RNAcentral lists this ribosomal RNA (221 nucleotides) under uncultured bacterium. RNAcentral describes it as "partial 16S ribosomal RNA". It matches the Rfam family "Bacterial small subunit ribosomal RNA", at positions 118 to 338 of the family's 1533-position model. The record is from RNAcentral.